GUGCUAUGAGCUCGAGUCGUAUAUGAGCUGAUAGCUGAGAGCGAAUGGUUUAAUUGUUUUAUAAUAUAGUCCAACAGCCAUUAAGUCAUUAACUGAAGCAAUAAUUCAUUAUCCUCUGUUACAAUGUCUUGAAAAUUUGAAAUACUUUUGUUUUACAACUUGAAGACGAAGUGAACGAAAUGGUUUUAGAACCGGUAUAUCUCACAGAAAAGCUCAGAUAUAUUAUACAGAUACGAUUCGAUGUUUGGUAGUAUACAGUAAGUGCUUGUUGACUGCAAAUUCGUUUGUCUUUCGUUGCAAACUUUUCUGAACAAUUUAUAUUCUCAAUGAACAUGUUUUUUUAGCUGUUGUUUAAUUUCGGUAUUAAUUAUUUAAAAAAAUUGUAUUUAAAUUUAAAUUAUUUCAGUCUGCGCGGUUAACACGAAGAUGGCAUCACUUUUUGGACUCGAAUUCUCGCUCCAAAUAUACAGCUAAUAUAAUAAUAAAGGUUGAAAACCUUAUAAAUUAACUCAAAGCGUGCAAAGCAUAUAUAUAAUUGAAGCAUCAUUUAAUCAGUUUAGAAAUCAUAUAUGGGCCCAUUUCUUAAAGACAUGGUAAAUAUUUCCUUACAAGAACAAUUCGUUCACAAAUAUUCAACUACUAAGCUUGACACUUGUGCUUCCAUUAAACUUUGCGCGCUUACAGUUUAAGGUUUACAGUUUAAGGUUUACAAAGGGCAACCUUUUUUGAAUUGACUGUAUAUGUAGCUCACUGAUUGUUUCUGGCCAGUUUGUCUGUCCAAAUGAAUAAACUGGACUUCCGAAUCCGCAGCGUCUUUUAAAAGCAAAGUCUAAAGCCAGUUUUCCACUUCAAGCGUACCGUACCGAAACGUAUCAAAAACAUUUUUAAAUUUCAAAAUUUUGUAAAUAUUGGUUGGUUAAUACUUCCGUAGUACGUCAAAAAGUUGACUUGCGACGAACUUUUCAUUUUGAUACGCGAGUACACCCGGAAGUACGUGGAUUUAUCAACGCAUGCUCACCAGUACGUUUCGGUACGGUUCUGUGUCACAAAUAUAAAAGAUUUUAUAGAUGGUUUAUUUCAUAUAAACAUUUGCAGCCAAUAGGCUGAAUUACGCUUAAUAUAUUUAUUAGAAAAUAUUAAAAUACUAUACACUAAAUGUCUCCAAAAGGAUCUAAGAAUAUUCUAAUAAUUUUACGACGAAUAAGUUAAUGCAUUAUAUGUAUAAUAAAACUAAUUUUAAAACGGUUAUAGUUUGAAAUGCAACGUUAAAUCUAUGACUGGAUCUAAGAGUCAUAUUAACAGUUUCAUUACGUG
Paramuricea clavata is the source of this 1314-nucleotide non-coding RNA. NCBI's taxonomy places the organism in Eukaryota, Metazoa, Cnidaria, Anthozoa, Malacalcyonacea, Plexauridae. The record is from the annotation of a GenBank genome assembly.